RNAcentral lists this unclassified non-coding RNA (210 nucleotides) under soil metagenome. Its description in RNAcentral is "partial contains 5.8S ribosomal RNA, internal transcribed spacer 2, and large subunit ribosomal RNA". The record is from RNAcentral.
AACGGUCUAUACCUGCGGUACCUGCGUAAGGAUCAUUACAUGAUUUGAGGGGGCUCACGUCCCCUCAUCCAACCCACAAACCCCGAGGAACUUUUAUGUCGAGUGGUUCGGCGCUCUCUUUGAGAGCCGCCCCUCAAACGCAUCGCAGGCUUUUCGUGAAGGUCUGAUGUGUCACAUCGUGAGUAUUAAAACUUUCAGCAAUGGAUCUCU